RNAcentral lists this ribosomal RNA (253 nucleotides) under uncultured bacterium. RNAcentral's name for it is "partial 16S ribosomal RNA". It matches the Rfam family "Bacterial small subunit ribosomal RNA", at positions 524 to 776 of the family's 1533-position model. The record is from RNAcentral.
UACGUAGGGUCCGAGCGUUAAUCGGAAUUACUGGGCGUAAAGCGUGCGCAGGCGGUUUUGUAAGCCAGAUGUGAAAUUCCCGGGCUUAACCUGGGAACUGCAUUUGGGACUGCAAGGCUCGAGUACGGCAGAGGGAGGUGGAAUUCCACGUGUAGCAGUGAAAUGCGUAGAGAUGUGGAGGAACACCGAUGGCGAAGGCAGCCUCCUGGGCCAGUACUGACGCUCAUGCACGAAAGCGUGGGGAGCAAACAGG